GCCCGGCUAGCUCAGUCGGUAAAGCAUG
Molecule: non-coding RNA, 28 nt
Filed under: Bombyx mori (domestic silkworm)
Lineage: Eukaryota; Metazoa; Arthropoda; Insecta; Lepidoptera; Bombycidae
Also listed under: 6 other names
Source: RNAcentral